GGGGGCGUUUAGAUUCGACAGGGAUGUUGGGUCGUAGGUUGCAUGCCGGGGAGCUUGUGCCUCGCAAAAAAUAAGCAAAAACAAAGAUGCCAAUAACGUCAUCGAUUUCACCGCCAAGCGUCAAGCUAAGCUUGCGCUUGCUGCCUAACUUAACUUAGGUGCGGUACUCUUUCGCUUCUUGAUUACCCGAAGCGUCAGGGUCAGAUACGGUAAUUGCUCAGGGAUUAAGUUAGCGAAUAAUAGUUCCUGUUAAGACAUAAUCGCGAACCCGGUCGGCGGUUUGAGCCGUCUUCAGCGGACCGCAAGGGAUCUGGGGAAAUUUCAAACUAAGCUUGUAGAUACCUGCUUCUCGGUAUUUUUGGACGCGAGUGCGAUUCUCGCCGCCUCCACCA
This 392-nucleotide transfer-messenger RNA is filed under the name Obscuribacter sp. (SeqCode). It matches the Rfam family "transfer-messenger RNA". From Rfam's summary of the family: Bacterial tmRNA, also known as 10Sa RNA or SsrA, is named for its dual tRNA and mRNA-like properties. Its role is to liberate the mRNA from a stalled ribosome. To accomplish this part of the tmRNA is used as a reading frame that ends in a translation stop signal. The record is from RNAcentral. Lineage: Bacteria; Bacillati; Candidatus Melainabacteria; Candidatus Obscuribacterales; Obscuribacteraceae (SeqCode). RNAcentral also lists the same sequence under 1 other name.